GUGCCAGCAGCCGCGGUGAUACGUAGGGUGCAAGCGUUAAUCGGAAUUACUGGGCGUAAAGCGUGUGUAGGCGGUUCGGAAAGAAAGAUGUGAAAUCCCAGGGCUCAACCUUGGAACUGCAUUUUUAACUGCCGAGCUAGAGUAUGUCAGAGGGGGGUAGAAUUCCACGUGUAGCAGUGAAAUGCGUAGAUAUGUGGAGGAAUACCGAUGGCGAAGGCAGCCCCCUGGGAUAAUACUGACGCUCAGACACGAAAGCGUGGGGAGCAAACAGGAUUAGAUACCCUGGUAGUCCACGCCCUAAACGAUGUCAACUAGCUGUUGGGGCCGUUAGGCCUUAGUAGCGCAGCUAACGCGUGAAGUUGACCGCCUGGGGAGUACGGUCGCAAGAUUAAAACUCAAAGGAAUUGACGGGGACCCGCACAAGCGGUGGAUGAUGUGGAUUAAUUCGAUGCAACGCGAAAAACCUUACCUACCCUUGACAUGUCUGGAAUGCCGAAGAGAUUUGGCAGUGCUCGCAAGAGAACCAGAACACAGGUGCUGCAUGGCUGUCGUCAGCUCGUGUCGUGAGAUGUUGGGUUAAGUCCCGCAACGAGCGCAACCCUUGUCAUUAGUUGCUACGCAAGAGCACUCUAAUGAGACUGCCGGUGACAAACCGGAGGAAGGUGGGGAUGACGUCAAGUCCUCAUGGCCCUUAUGGGUAGGGCUUCACACGUCAUACAAUGGUCGGGACAGAGGGUCGCCAACCCGCGAGGGGGAGCCAAUCUCAGAAACCCGAUCGUAGUCCGGAUCGCAGUCUGCAACUCGACUGCGUGAAGUCGGAAUCGCUAGUAAUCGCGGAUCAGAAUGUCGCGGUGAAUACGUUCCCGGGUCUUGUACACACCGCCCGUCACACCAUGGGAGUGGGUUUCACCAGAAGUAGGUAGCCUAACCGCAAGGAGGGCGCU
RNAcentral lists this ribosomal RNA (944 nucleotides) under uncultured bacterium. RNAcentral's name for it is "bacterial SSU rRNA". It matches the Rfam family "Bacterial small subunit ribosomal RNA", at positions 505 to 1454 of the family's 1533-position model. The record is from RNAcentral.